This 200-nucleotide ribosomal RNA is filed under the name uncultured bacterium. RNAcentral's name for it is "partial 16S ribosomal RNA". It matches the Rfam family "Bacterial small subunit ribosomal RNA", at positions 8 to 210 of the family's 1533-position model. The record is from RNAcentral.
AGAGUUUGAUCCUGGCUCAGAUUGAACGCUGGCGGCAUGCUUUACACAUGCAAGUCGAACGGCAGCACGGGUGCUUGCACCUGGUGGCGAGUGGCGAACGGGUGAGUAAUAUAUCGGAACGUACCCGGCAAUGGGGGAUAACGCAGCGAAAGUUGCGCUAAUACCGCAUAUGCCCUGAGGGGGAAAGUGGGGGACCGGAA